This 24-nucleotide non-coding RNA is filed under the name Cricetulus griseus (Chinese hamster). Lineage: Eukaryota; Metazoa; Chordata; Mammalia; Rodentia; Cricetidae. The record is from RNAcentral.
AGAUCAUUUUAAGGGAGCUAAGGA